GAGAGGAACUUGUUCCUCGAGUCGUUGAUUUCACACUGCCGAGAAAAGCCUCUAGCUAGAAUAACGGUGCCCGUACCGCAAACCGACACAGGUAGUCAAGAUGAGAAUUCUAAGGUGAGCGAGCGAACUCUCGUUAAGGAACUCGGCAAAAUGACCCCGUAACUUCGGGAGAAGGGGUGCUCUUUGAGGUUCACGCUUCGAAGAGCCGCAGUGAAUAGGCCCAAGCGACUGUUUAUCAAAAACACAGGUCUCUGCUAAACCGUAAGGUGACGUAUAGGGGCUGACGCCUGCCCGGUGCUGGAAGGUUAAGAGGAGUGGUUAGCGCAAGCGAAGCUACGAAUCGAAGCCCCAGUAAACGGCGGCCGUAACUAUAACGGUCCUAAGGUAGCGAAAUUCCUUGUCGGGUAAGUUCCGACCCGCACGAAAGGCGUAACGAUUUGGGCACUGUCUCAACGAGAGACUCGGUGAAAUCAUAGUACCGGUGAAGAUGCCGGUUACCCGCGACAGGACGGAAAGACCCCGUGGAGCUUUACUGUAGCCUGAUAUUGAAAUUCGGUACAGUUUGUACAGGAUAGGUAGGAGCCUUAGAAGCGUGAGCGCUAGCUUACGUGGAGGCAUUGGUGGGAUACUACCCUAAUUGUAUUGGAUUUCUAACCCGCAGCACUUAUCGUGCUGGGAGACAGUGUCAGGCGGGCAGUUUGACUGGGGCGGUCGCCUCCUAAAGAGUAACGGAGGCGCUCAAAGGUUCCCUCAGAAUGGUUGGAAAUCAUUCAUAGAGUGUAAAGGCAUAAGGGAGCUUGACUGCGAGACCUACAAGUCGAGCAGGGUCGAAAGACGGACUUAGUGAUCCGGUGGUUCCGCAUGGAAGGGCCAUCGCUCAACGGAUAAAAGCUACCCCGGGGAUAACAGGCUUAUCUCCCCCAAGAGUUCACAUCGACGGGGAGGUUUGGCACCUCGAUGUCGGCUCAUCGCAUCCUGGGGCUGUAGUCGGUCCCAAGGGUUGGGCUGUUCGCCCAUUAAAGCGGUACGCGAGCUGGGUUCAGAACGUCGUGAGACAG
This 1058-nucleotide ribosomal RNA is filed under the name Staphylococcus pseudintermedius. Its description in RNAcentral is "partial 23S ribosomal RNA". It matches the Rfam family "Bacterial large subunit ribosomal RNA", at positions 1570 to 2629 of the family's 2925-position model. Lineage: Bacteria; Bacillati; Bacillota; Bacilli; Caryophanales; Staphylococcaceae. The record is from RNAcentral.